AAACAGUUCAGACUUGUCCACAAGACACUGGGGCUUAGGCAUGUUACUUUUUCUGCCUUCAUGCUGGAGUAUUUCCAAAGCUUUCUAAUAAAAUUGA
Chelonoidis abingdonii (Abingdon island giant tortoise) is the source of this 97-nucleotide non-coding RNA. The record is from RefSeq and is a predicted model, not a curated record. NCBI's taxonomy places the organism in Eukaryota, Metazoa, Chordata, Testudines, Testudinidae.